Molecule: long non-coding RNA, 1737 nt
Organism: Bos grunniens (domestic yak)
Lineage: Eukaryota; Metazoa; Chordata; Mammalia; Artiodactyla; Bovidae
Source: Ensembl
AGAGAGACUGGAGGAUAUUCCAGGCAAUGGGAAUUGCUCUUGCCAAGAGAGAAGGGUGCCAACGCCUGGCUGAGCUGCAUGAAAAGAUGUUGAAAGACUUCUUUGCACAUGUGCACAUUUCACGGGAUCUUGGUGACCAUUUAGAAGACAGAAUCUGUAAACAUGGACUUCUCUGUUCAACCUUGGAACAGGUUUCACAGCUGUGGAAACUGGAGUUUAAAUCUUAAUAGAACUCCACAGGAAUUAAAGACGCUUUAAAACAGGCUAUAUUUUGACCUCAAAUUAGGCAUCUGGCAGUCUCAUUACAGACUCUCCUGCAGACCCCACUGUGGCAAAGAAUUAAAUUCACCAGCAUUCUCUGCUUCCGAGGAAGUGUCCUCUGAGAAUUGCAGCUGGAUUGAACCUUCUUCAUCUGUGAGGACAGAGCACAGCAACAUCCCUAACAUGUUUGUUUCCCUUAAUCCUUUCAAGUGCCUUUGGGGAAUAAACGGUAGCGCAGUGGUUGAAGUCUUCAGUUUUUUAGCUCACCUUCAUUUCCUUCAACUCUAAGUAACUGCUUUACAUGCUAGAAUAGGUUACCAUAGCAAUAUUUUCUGAGCAAUAGGUGGGCUGAAUUGCACUAUUGAAGACUCACAGGAGAAAAUAUGAAAUAACAACCUGAGAAAGUCCAGCGAGCUGCAGAGCGUCGAGACUAUUAAAACAAGGGGCUCAAUGGGUUCCCUUGUGAUCGAUCAGAAACACUGUAGCCCCCAGCUCGAAUCAAGUGCUGUGUGGGCAACUGUGAAUCACUCCCCAAAUCCCCACCUCCUCAUCUCCAAGUCACCCAUCCACGAAGCUCAAAUGCUAAAAACAAAUGAGGAGAGGGGGAAUCUUUGAAAUUCAUAUCCACAAUGGGUACUUGACAAAGCUCUCCUAUGGGAAUCCUGGGAAGGUGGUGGUCAUCAUGCCAGGAUAAUUUUUGGAUCUUUCUGCAUACCCACAUAAAAAGGGAGCAACCAAAGAGCAAAAAAAUCCACAGGAAAAAAAAAAAAGAAAAAGCCACAGGCAAUAAUUACAACAAAAAGUAGGUUACAGAGAAUCCUGUUGAAUCCCACAGCACAAGUGGGUGGGACAAAGCAGCCAACAGCCACAGACCUGUUUGUUAUUGGCAAAGUGCAGGAGGAAAUGAUGGGAAACCAUGCAGUAGCCAAUGGACCUAAGAACAGGAGCACCCCCAAAAUAACCAACAAGGGGGCAAUUUGCGACCAGCUGCUGAAACGAGGUUUUCCCACUCUAUCGUGAGUAAGGGCAAAGUCAGAAGGGCUGGAGGAGUCUAGCCGCUUUGAACUCUUUUUGAUAGCUCUAUUGAGAUAUAAUAUAGAGGCAUAUUGGGCUUCCUAGGUGGUGCUAGUGGUAAAGAACCUGGCUGCUAAUGCAGGAGAUGUCAGAGACUCGGAUUUGAUCCCUGGGUCAGGAAGAUCCCCUGGAGGAGGGCUUGGCAACCCACUCCAGUACUCUUGCCUGGAGAAUCCCCAUGGACAGAGGAGCCUGGCGGGCCAGAGUCCAUAGGGUCAUAAAGAGUCAGACACAACUGAAGCAACUGGGCACACACUCAUAGAGGUAUAUUACUAUAAAAUUCUAGUACCAUACAGUUUCACCCCGAAAGUGUUUUUCAUGUAUUCAAGAAGCUGUGCAACUAUCACCACCAUCAAUUUUAGAACAUUGUCACCACCUCAAAAGUAAACCUGUACCCAUUAG